GACGAACGCUGGCGGCGUGCUUAACACAUGCAAGUCGAACGGAAAGGCCCUGCUUUUGUGGGGUGCUCGAGUGGCGAACGGGUGAGUAACACGUGAGUAACCUGCCCUUGACUUUGGGAUAACUUCAGGAAACUGGGGCUAAUACCGGAUAGGAGCUCCUGCUGCAUGGUGGGGGUUGGAAAGUUUCGGCGGUUGGGGAUGGACUCGCGGCUUAUCAGCUUGUUCGUGGGGUAGUGGCUUACCAAGGCUUUGACGGGUAGCCGGCCUGAGAGGGUGACCGGCCGCAGUGGUGCGGGCGAGCGCCCCCAGCUGCGGCGGGAGGCAGCGGUGGGGCAGAGCGCACGCGGGGCGGACGCCUGAGGCCGCAGCGCGGGGUGCGGGCUGCCGGCCGCGGGGUGGUCAACCGCUUUCGCGUGUGACGAGGGGUGGGCGACGGUAAGGGGACAAGAAGAACCGGCAAACUACGCGCCAGCAGCCGCGCUAAUAAUCGGAACAGCACCCGUCCGACC
Molecule: ribosomal RNA, 509 nt
Filed under: uncultured bacterium
Lineage: Bacteria
Description: partial 16S ribosomal RNA
Rfam family: Bacterial small subunit ribosomal RNA
Source: RNAcentral